UGGGGAAUAUUGGACAAUGGGCGAAAGCCUGAUCCAGCAAUGCCGCGUGAGUGAUGAAGGCCUUAGGGUUGUAAAGCUCUUUUACCCGGGAUGAUAAUGACAGUACCGGGAGAAUAAGCUCCGGCUAACUCCGUGCCAGCAGCCGCGGUAAUACGGAGGGAGCUAGCGUUGUUCGGAAUUACUGGGCGUAAAGCGCACGUAGGCGGCUUAUCAAGUCAGGGGUGAAAUCCCGGGGCUCAACCCCGGAACUGCCUUUGAUACUUCUGGUCUCGAGUCCGAGAGAGGUGAGUGGAAUUCCGAGUGUAGAGGUGAAAUUCGUAGAUAUUCGGAGGAACACCAGUGGCGAAGGCGGCUCACUGGCUCGGUACUGACGCUGAGGUGCGAAAGCGUGGGGAGCAAACAGGAUUAGAUACCCGCGUAGUCC
Molecule: ribosomal RNA, 424 nt
Filed under: uncultured prokaryote
Description: bacterial SSU rRNA
Rfam family: Bacterial small subunit ribosomal RNA
Source: RNAcentral